RNAcentral lists this ribosomal RNA (755 nucleotides) under uncultured archaeon. Its description in RNAcentral is "bacterial SSU rRNA". It matches the Rfam family "Archaeal small subunit ribosomal RNA", at positions 102 to 859 of the family's 1478-position model. The record is from RNAcentral.
AGUCAACCUAACUCGUGGACGUGGAUAACCUCGGGAAACUGAGAAUAAACCACGAUAGAUCAUAGUGCCUGGAAUGGCUUAUGGUCCAAACAGUUUACUGCCAUGGGAUGGGACUGCGGCCUAUCAGCUUGUUGGUGAGGUAAUGGCCCACCAAGGCGAUUACAGGUACGGGCUCUGAGAGGAGAAGCCCGGAGAUGGGUACUGAGACACGGACCCAGGCCCUAUGGGGCGCAGCAGGCGAGAAACCUUAGCAAUGUGCGAAAGCACGACUGGGUCAGUCCGAGUGAUUCCUGAUAAAGGAGUCUUUUGCUUGUCCUAAAAGCACAGGUGAAUAAGGGGUGGGCAAGUCUGGUGUCAGCCGCCGCGGUAAUACCAGCACCUCGAGUGGUCAGGACGUUUAUUGGGCCUAAAGCAUCCGUAGCCGGCUCUGCAAGUCUUCGGUUAAAUCCACCUGCUCAACAGAUGGGCCGCUGGAGAUACUACAGAGCUAGGGAGUGGGAGAGGCAGACGGUAUUCAGUGGGUAGGGGUAAAAUCCUCUGAUCCAUUGAGGACCACCAGUGGCGAAGGCGGUUUGCCAGAACACGUUCGACGGUGAGGGAUGAAAGCUGGGGGAGCAAACCGGAUUAGAUACCCGGGUAGUCCCAGCUGUAAACGAUGCAAACUCGGUGAUGCAUUGGCUUAUGGCCAAUGCAGUGCCGCAGGGAAGCCGUUAAGUUUGCCGCCUGGGAAGUACGGACGCAAGUCUGAAACUUAA